AACGUGCUCCGGGGUCGGUGAGAAUCCGAACCGGCGGUGACAGUCCGCGAACCCCUCCGCAUCACGCGGUGGGGCCGAUCCGGUGGAAUUCCGGGACCGACGGUGAUGCGACGGGAAUCCGUCGCUAGUCCGGAUAGGAGGCAGCACGGA
Microbacterium testaceum StLB037 is the source of this 150-nucleotide non-coding RNA. The record is from Rfam. Lineage: Bacteria; Bacillati; Actinomycetota; Actinomycetes; Micrococcales; Microbacteriaceae.